Molecule: long non-coding RNA, 316 nt
Filed under: Triticum aestivum (bread wheat)
Lineage: Eukaryota; Viridiplantae; Streptophyta; Magnoliopsida; Poales; Poaceae
Description: long non-coding RNA (TAES_LNC017614)
Source: RNAcentral
UCCAUCGUGGGAUCACUUCAUGUCGUUUCGUGAGGCCACAACCGCCGCCCUCCAAUUUCAUCACUUUUUUGUGUUUGUCUUCUGAAAAAAUUGGCCAUCGUUGCAGGCCGGCUUCACCAGAUUAUUCAGUUCAGCUCUAAACAAAUGAGCAUUAUACUUUGUUGUCCAAAGUUUUGGGAAGGUAGAAAUUGUUCCAGAAGGUGAAAAAUAUGUCCAAGUAUAUCAGCAGCUUUGGGAAGGUAGAAAUUGUUCCAGAAGGUGAAAAAUAUGUCCAAGUAUUUUUUUCUAGAACACCGACACUCUCUGGACAUCAUUG